RNAcentral lists this ribosomal RNA (253 nucleotides) under uncultured bacterium. Its description in RNAcentral is "partial 16S ribosomal RNA". It matches the Rfam family "Bacterial small subunit ribosomal RNA", at positions 524 to 775 of the family's 1533-position model. The record is from RNAcentral.
UACGUAGGUGACCAGCGUUGUCCGGAUUUACUGGGCGUAAAGAGCGCGCAGGCGGUCGUUCAAGUCGAGUGUGAAAGCCCCCGGCUCAACUGGGGAGGGUCACUCGAUACUGAUCGACUCGAAGGCAGGAGAGGGUGAGUGGAAUUCCCGGUGUAGUGGUGAAAUGCGUAGAUAUCGGGAGGAACACCAGUGGCGAAGGCGACUACCUGGCCUGUUCUUGACGCUGAGGCGCGAAAGCUAGGGGAGCAACGGG